GACGAACGCUGGCGGCGUGCUUAACACAUGCAAGUCGAACGGAAAGGCCCUGCUUUUGUGGGGUGCUCGAGUGGCGAACGGGUGAGUGACACGUGAGUAACCUGCCCUUGACUUUGGGAUAACUUCAGGAAACUGGGGCUAAUACCGGAUAGGAGCUCCUGCUGCAUGGUGGGGGUUGGAAAGUUUCGGCGGUUGGGGAUGGACUCGCGGCUUAUCAGCUUGUUGGUGGGGUAGUGGCUUACCAAGGCUUUGACGGGUAGCCGGCCUGAGAGGGUGACCGGCUACAUUGGGACUGAGGUACGGCCCAGACUCCUACGGGAGGCAGCAGUGGGGAAUAUUGCACAAUGGGCGGAAGCCUGAUGCAGCAACGCCGCGUGCGGGAUGACGGCCUUCGGGUUGUAAACCGCUUUCGCCUGUGACGAAGCGUGAGUGACGGUAAUGGGUAAAGAAGCACCGGCUAACUACGUG
RNAcentral lists this ribosomal RNA (468 nucleotides) under uncultured bacterium. RNAcentral's name for it is "partial 16S ribosomal RNA". It matches the Rfam family "Bacterial small subunit ribosomal RNA", at positions 28 to 507 of the family's 1533-position model. The record is from RNAcentral.